Orcinus orca (killer whale) is the source of this 1259-nucleotide long non-coding RNA. RefSeq lists it as uncharacterized. The record is from RefSeq and is a predicted model, not a curated record. Lineage: Eukaryota; Metazoa; Chordata; Mammalia; Artiodactyla; Delphinidae. The transcript has 2 exons.
GCCCAGGGUGCCCUCGGGGAGUUUGGCCAGCUCUGUGUCGCGCACCGCGUGCACCGUUGUGGCACGUGGCUGCCUGGUCAGCGCCUCCACCUAGGGGACAGCGUGCCUGACCAGGGCUGCGUGAGCCAGGAGCUUGAUAGCCAGCAAGAGCCGACGAAGACUGGCUACACAGGAGCAUGGCUGAGCUUAGAGCCUCUUUGCUUGUGCUGGGCAACUGCAUAGCUACAUGGAAAAGAAUAAAGUUGGAUUCUCACCUUAUGCCAUAUUAAGAUGGAUCAAAGACAUGAAUCUGAGAGCUUAAACUAUAAAACUUUUAGAAGAUGGGACUUCCCUGGUGGCGCAGUGGUUAAAAAUCCGCCUGCCAAUGCAGGGGACAGGGGUUCGAGCCCUGGUCCGGUAAGAUCCCACAUGCCGCCGAGCAACAAAGCCCGUGCACCACAACUAGUGAGCCCGCGUGCCACAACUACUGAAGCCUGCGUGCCUAGAGCCUGUGUUCGGCAACAAGAGAAGCCACCACAAUGAGAAGCCGGCGCACCACAACGAAGAGUAGCCCCCGCUCGCCACAACUAGAGAAAGCCCAUGCGCAGCAACAAAGACCCAACACAGCCAAAUACAUACAUACAUACAUACAUAAAACUCUUAGAAGAAAAUACAGGGGUCAAUCAUGGUCACACUGAAUUUGGCAACAGAAUCUUGGAUAUGAUACUAAAAGCCCAAGCAACAAAAUGAAAAAUAGAUAAACUGGAUUUCAACAAAAUUAAAAACUUUUGAGUUUCAAAGGGCACUAUCAAGGAAGUGAAAGGACAACACACCGUGUGGGAGAAAAUAUUUGCCAAUCAUAUAUCUGCUAAGGGUCUGGUAUCCAGAAUAUGUAAAGAAUUCUUACUACUCAGUACUAAAAAGACAACUCAAUUAAAAAAUGGGUAAGGGCUUCCCUGGUGGCACAGUGGUUAAGAAUCCACCUGCCAAUGCAGGUGACACGGGUUCGAGCCCUGGUCCGGGAAGAUCCCACAUGCCGCGGAGCUACUAAGCCCGUGCGCCACACCUACUGAGCCUGCGCUCUAGAGCCCGCGAGCCCCACUACUGAGCCCGCGUGCUACAGCUACUGAAGCCCGCGCCUAGAGCCAAUGCUCCACAACAAGAGAAGCCACUGCAAUGAGAAGCCCGCGCACUGCAAUGAAGAGUAGUCCCCGCUCUCCGCAACUAGAGAAAGCCUGCGUGCAGCAAGGAAGACCCACUGCAGCCAAAAAUAAAUAAAU